GCUGGGCAUGGUGGAGCACACCUGUAAUUCCAGCGACUCAGGAGGCUGAGGGAGGAGGAUUGCGAGUUCAAAGCCAGCCUCAGCAAUGGUGAGGUGCUAAGCAACUCAGUGAGCCCCUUUCUCUA
Molecule: small RNA, 125 nt
Filed under: Marmota monax (woodchuck)
Lineage: Eukaryota; Metazoa; Chordata; Mammalia; Rodentia; Sciuridae
Source: RNAcentral